This 353-nucleotide ribosomal RNA is filed under the name Shigella flexneri. RNAcentral's name for it is "bacterial LSU rRNA". It matches the Rfam family "Bacterial large subunit ribosomal RNA", at positions 855 to 1206 of the family's 2925-position model. Lineage: Bacteria; Pseudomonadati; Pseudomonadota; Gammaproteobacteria; Enterobacterales; Enterobacteriaceae. The record is from RNAcentral.
CUCCCCGAAAGCUAUUUAGGUAGCGCCUCGUGAAUUCAUCUCCGGGGGUAGAGCACUGUUUCGGCAAGGGGGUCAUCCCGACUUACCAACCCGAUGCAAACUGCGAAUACCGGAGAAUGUUAUCACGGGAGACACACGGCGGGUGCUAACGUCCGUCGUGAAGAGGGAAACAACCCAGACCGCCAGCUAAGGUCCCAAAGUCAUGGUUAAGUGGGAAACGAUGUGGGAAGGCCCAGACAGCCAGGAUGUUGGCUUAGAAGCAGCCAUCAUUUAAAGAAAGCGUAAUAGCUCACUGGUCGAGUCGGCCUGCGCGGAAGAUGUAACGGGGCUAAACCAUGCACCGAAGCUGCGGC